This 468-nucleotide ribosomal RNA is filed under the name uncultured bacterium. RNAcentral describes it as "partial 16S ribosomal RNA". It matches the Rfam family "Bacterial small subunit ribosomal RNA", at positions 28 to 507 of the family's 1533-position model. The record is from RNAcentral.
GACGAACGCUGGCGGCGUGCUUAACACAUGCCAGUCGAACGGAAAGGCCCUGCUUUUGUGGGGUGCUCGAGUGGCGAACGGGUGAGUAACACGUGAGUAACCUGCCCUUGACUUUGGGAUAACUUCAGGAAACUGGGGCUAAUACCGGAUAGGAGCUCCUGCUGCAUGGUGGGGGUUGGAAAGUUUCGGCGGUUGGGGAUGGACUCGCGGCUUAUCAGCUUGUUGGUGGGGUAGUGGCUUACCAAGGCUUUGACGGGUAGCCGGCCUGAGAGGGUGACCGGACACAUUGGGACUGAGAUACGGCCCAGACUCCUACGGGAGGCAGCAGUGGGGAAUCUUGCACAAUGGGCGGAAGUCUGAUGCAGCAACGCCGCGUGCGGGAUGACGGCCUUCGGGUUGUAAACCGCUUUCGCCUGUGACGAAGCGUGAGUGACGGUAAUGGGUAAAGAAGCACCGGCUAACUACGUG